Cercocebus atys (sooty mangabey) is the source of this 949-nucleotide long non-coding RNA. RefSeq lists it as uncharacterized. Lineage: Eukaryota; Metazoa; Chordata; Mammalia; Primates; Cercopithecidae. The transcript has 4 exons. The record is from RefSeq and is a predicted model, not a curated record.
UUCUGUUUUGAGGUCUUUCUUUGAACAUUACAAAUAAUUUAGCUCCUUCUAGUGCCUCCUUUUCUUUAUUUAGGGGUCCCUGAGUUCCGGGUCGAGUUGUUAAAAUGAGCAGGUUAUGAGAUGUUGAGUGAGGAGCCCACACGCCUGUCCUCCUGGGGUCCCGCACUGUCAUCUGAGCAGGAGCAGGUGUCUGUCACGCCUGCUACUCUUGGGUUUCAGAAUCCUGGUAGAGGAGCGCGUUACUUUAAGCAGCAGACACGUGAGUCUCCAGAUGCAGCCAAACAUGAAAUCGGCCCGGGUGGAUAACCUUGAGCAGCGACAAAAGAAUCAUCUCCUUCCAAGCUGGGCUAGGAAUUUGUAUUCGUGCAUUAUGCCGAGUUCGAAGGAGAAGCGGGUCAACCAGUCUCCAAACAGGGAUUCUUAAAAACCGGAGCAAGAGAUGUAUCCACUAAAGGGGAAUGCGGAUGUUUUUGCAACAACCAGUUUGUGCCUAUCCCAGUUGCCAAAUAUAGCACAACUUGAUCUCCUUCCAUUCUUAGAAACAAAGAAGCCCUUUGUUUUUGCCUUUCAAGAUGAUAAAGGGAAUUGUAGUCAUUCCUCCAGUGGCUAAUACCUGCCAGCAGAUCCUGAACGAUGCCGUUGAUUUCUAGAUGUAUCCUGAUUUCAAGUUUUCUUCAAAAGUGUGGCUACCCAACAUAAAUAACCUCUACCCACAUUCCAUUUGAAGUGCUGAAAACUGAAAAGUAUAUGGACUUUGGUGCCUGGCAGAACUGGGUCCUCAUUCCAGCAACGAUCCUGAUUCCCAUACAUUUUCUACUCUGUAAAAUAAAGGAAAUAAAAUAAAGGCAAUAACACAGGAAUAAUUGUGCUGUUUCUCUGAGCUGAUAUGCUACACAGAGAUCACGGUGCAGGGCUUUUUUGUUAUUGUUGUUGUUUUUGAGACAGAGUC